UACAGAAGGUGCAAGCGUUAAUCGGAUUUAUUGGGCGUAAAGGGUGCGUAGGUGGUAAAGCAAGUAAGAUGUGAAAGCCCCGGGCUUAACCUGGGAAGUGCAUCUUAAACUGCUUAACUAGAGCAUGGUAGAGGGUAGUGGAAUUUCCGGUGUAGCGGUGAAAUGCGUAGAUAUCGAAAGGAACGCCAGUGGUGAAGACGACUACCUGGACCAAUACUGACACUGAGGCACGAAAGCGUGGGGAUCAAACAGG
Molecule: ribosomal RNA, 253 nt
Filed under: uncultured bacterium
Lineage: Bacteria
Description: partial 16S ribosomal RNA
Rfam family: Bacterial small subunit ribosomal RNA
Source: RNAcentral